Molecule: non-coding RNA, 666 nt
Organism: Dermacentor andersoni
Lineage: Eukaryota; Metazoa; Arthropoda; Arachnida; Ixodida; Ixodidae
Source: RefSeq, a predicted model, not a curated record
CUCAUGAAAACACUCUACCGCCACGCUACACGGUUUUGCAGUGCCGUCUGCUUUUGCUCUGUGCCUUCUCAGUGUCGUCUGCUCACUGUUCCCGAAGGGCAGGCUACUUGAAAAGCCAAACAAACAUUCAACAGGCGUGACAAAAAAGUGGAUCCCAGUUCUGACAGCCCGUACAUUUCCACAAUUGUUACUGUUCGAAGAGCCCUGUUAUCAAGCCACUCUGCCACUAUUUUUGCCGUUUUUGUCUGUACCGCCUGUUCUUGCUGCGCAGUACUACAGUGCUGUCUGCUUAACCUUCUCAAGUAGCAGACGAGGCGAUCGCGUAGGCGCAUGCCGCGAUCAAAUGCUGUGCCGCCGCAUAUACUUUGAUUUGUUAAGCUAGCCCUAGCGCAACGGUGCACGGUACUAGUGAGAAAGUGCGUGCACUUGCAGGAACUGCCUACGUGCCGAUGGACAGAAUACCACUGCCCUGCUCUUCGACGGAGAGAUAUAGUACCGAGCAACCGAAGAACAUCAGAGCAACCAUGAAACGAAGCUCCAGAGGAUUUUCUGGGACUUCAGGGGCAGCACGGGUGGACGCCGAGGCAGACGUCAAAACGAGGCAGGCCGCAAGUAAACAUAACCAUGGGCAAUAUCUGUAAAACAGACUGCUUUCACUCUUGUCUG